Molecule: long non-coding RNA, 530 nt
Organism: Mytilus trossulus (common blue mussel)
Lineage: Eukaryota; Metazoa; Mollusca; Bivalvia; Mytilida; Mytilidae
Exons: 3
Source: RefSeq, a predicted model, not a curated record
UAAUCCAACUCUAGUGACGUAGUCACCUUGGUGAUAUCUAAAUAUUUCAAGAUGGCAGCCAAGUGUAAAUAAAGCCAAAACAAUAUCGUUUUAAGAAGUUUUGUCCUUAGAAGUGCGACAUAUCUUAUAAUUUAUUUGUUACAUGGUACCAUAAAAUUUACAGUCCGAAAUGUCGAAGAAGAAAGAAGACCCACCUAAGAUCCAUUUACCAAAGGAACAAUCAGUCCAGUUUAGUAGAACUAAUACAGACAUGGUCAGUUAUGAAGAUCUAUUGAUUGAUCAGUAUCUUGAGGAACUGAGAAAAACUAAAGGAGAGAUGAGAAAGAAAAAAGAUGUCCCAAGAUCACCUUAUGCUCAGCGUGUAUCUUCAGCGACAGAAUAUAAAUAAAGCAAGAGACGACCUAUGUCAGCAACAUAUCCACCCAAACCACCUUCUGGUAACAAACCAAAAAUAGAUGCCAAGUUUAUUGCAGACCCCAAUCUCUGGGACCCGUCUACUCCUAGGGAGAGAAUGACAAUAAAAGCAGCAA